RNAcentral lists this ribosomal RNA (397 nucleotides) under uncultured bacterium. RNAcentral's name for it is "bacterial SSU rRNA". It matches the Rfam family "Bacterial small subunit ribosomal RNA", at positions 29 to 429 of the family's 1533-position model. The record is from RNAcentral.
AUUGAACGCUGGCGGAAUGCUUUACACAUGCAAGUCGAGCGGCAGCGCGGGGGCAACCCUGGCGGCGAGCGGCGAACGGGUGAGUAACAUAUCGGAACGUACCCCGUCGUGGGGGAUAACACAGCGAAAGCUGUGCUAAUACCGCAUACGACCUGAGGGUGAAAGCGGGGGAUCGCAAGACCUCGCGCGAUGGGAGCGGCCGAUAUCGGAUUAGCUUGUUGGUGAGGUAAAGGCUCACCAAGGCGACGAUCCGUAGCUGGUCUGAGAGGACGACCAGCCACACUGGAACUGAGACACGGUCCAGACUCCUACGGGAGGCAGCAGUGGGGAAUUUUGGACAAUGGGCGCAAGCCUGAUCCAGCCAUGCCGCGUGAGUGAAGAAGGCCUCGGUUGUAAG